CUCUCUCUCUCUCUCUCUCUCUCUCUCUCUCUCUCUCUAUAUAUAUAUAUAUAUAUAUAUUCUUUUAAGAAUUUCUAUAAAUAUGCGAUGUUAACCCCUCAAAAAUGUUAUGGAAAACAUGGAGGGACACAAAAUUGGAAUAAUGGUUCUUCUUUUUUGCGGUACAAUUCUAUUGGGAGUUAAUCCGACAAAUGCUGCGAAACUUUGCCCAGAUAUUUGCUUGGACUAUGCGUAUAUGACCUGCCCAUCAUCAGGGAAUCAGAAGCUUGAUCCGGCCUGCAACUGCUGUUUUGCUCCAGGCUGCACCCUCUACCUCUCUGAUGGAACUUCUACUUACUGUAAUUGAUGGAACAGACGAUUCACACGCUCUUUACAAUCUCCAAUAUGCUUGCAAAUAAUGAGAUUGGAUGUGUGACAAAAAUAAAUAAUAAAAAUAAAACAAGUGAGACUUAUUGUCUCUAUGGUCUAAUA
Molecule: long non-coding RNA, 471 nt
Organism: Quercus robur (English oak)
Lineage: Eukaryota; Viridiplantae; Streptophyta; Magnoliopsida; Fagales; Fagaceae
Exons: 2
Source: RefSeq, a predicted model, not a curated record